This 32-nucleotide ribosomal RNA is filed under the name Diaporthe sp. RNAcentral's name for it is "partial 18S ribosomal RNA". The record is from RNAcentral. Lineage: Eukaryota; Fungi; Ascomycota; Sordariomycetes; Diaporthales; Diaporthaceae.
UUGUAACAAGGUUUCCGUAGGUGAACCAGCGG